Molecule: ribosomal RNA, 168 nt
Filed under: Xenentodon cancila (freshwater garfish)
Lineage: Eukaryota; Metazoa; Chordata; Actinopteri; Beloniformes; Belonidae
Description: partial 12S rRNA
Source: RNAcentral
CACCGCGGUUAGACGAGAGGCCUAAGUUGAUAACCACCGGCGUAAAGAGUGGUUAAGAGAAACCAUAACUAAAGCCGAAUACUUUCAAAGCUGUUAUACGCAUCCGAAAGUAAGAAGUACUACUACGAAAGUGGCUUUAAUACAUCUGACCCCACGAAAGCUGUGAAA